CUCACCAUUAAAUGCGUGCUUCUUCUUGAUCUGUUCAAUCCUGACACUGUUGGCGUUUGAUGCUGCUGCACAUCGUUGGCUUCCCUUGCAAUUGUCGACGGUGGCCGAAAGUGCCGCCACGCUUCCCCUCUUGUUUUCUUAACUUGUUUAGGGUUGAAUUGAAUUGGGUUUAAGAGGAUGAUGGAAAUAAUGGCGGAUUAGAGUAGCAAACAUACAUGAUACAUCGAGAAGCAUGCCUAUACAUGGAUAAUAGAAUUGAAGAAUAAUGAAAGAAUGACCUUUAUAUUGAUUUAGGUUUAUUUAAGGAGAGAUAUAUAUAUUAUGAUUUUAUGAUUUAAUUUUCAGAUUAACUAUUUAUAUUUUGGAUGCAAUAGUAUGUUUUCGAUUGAGUAUACUCUUUGGCUCAUUUUUUACAAUGGUCGUUGAGUAUUUCUACUCAUUUAUAUCAAUAAUAUCAUUUUAUUUCCUCUUCAA
This is a long non-coding RNA of Beta vulgaris subsp. vulgaris (sugar beet), 474 nucleotides long. RefSeq lists it as uncharacterized. NCBI's taxonomy places the organism in Eukaryota, Viridiplantae, Streptophyta, Magnoliopsida, Caryophyllales, Amaranthaceae. The transcript has 2 exons. The record is from RefSeq and is a predicted model, not a curated record.